AUACGUAGGUGACAAGCGUUAUCCGGAUUUACUGGGCGUAAAGGGCGUGUAGGCGGUCUUGCAAGUCAGAAGUGAAAUUCCUGAGCUCAACUCGGGCGCUGCUUCUGAAACUGCAGGACUUGAGUGCUGGAGGGGAUAGCGGAAUUCCUAGUGGAGCGGUAAAAUGCGCAGAUAUUAGGAAGAACACCGGUGGCGAAGGCGGCUAUCUGGACAGUAACUGACGCUGAGGCGCGAAAGCGUGGGGAGCAAACAGGAUUAGAUUCCCUGGUAGUCCACGCCGUAAACGAUGAAUACUAGGUGUAGGGGGUAUCGACUCCCUCUGUGCCGCAGUUAACACAGUAAGUAUUCCGCCUGGGGAGUACGGCCGCAAGGUUGAAACUCAAAUGAAUUGACGGGG
Molecule: ribosomal RNA, 397 nt
Filed under: uncultured bacterium
Lineage: Bacteria
Description: partial 16S ribosomal RNA
Rfam family: Bacterial small subunit ribosomal RNA
Source: RNAcentral